GGAACAAGGCGGGUGGGGACAAGAGGGACAGGGAUAAGGGGGAUGGGGACAAGGAGGGCAGGGUAAAGGGGGAUGUGAAUUAAGGGGACAGGAACAAGGUGGAUAAGGGGACGGGGACAAGAAGGAUGAGGACAAGGGGGAUGGGGAUGAGAGGGAUGGGGAUAAGGUGGGCGGGGAUGAGGGGGACAGAAACAAGGGGGAUGGGGAUGAGGUGGGUGGGGACAAGGGACAGGAAGAAGGUGGGUGGGGACGAGGGGCACAGGGACUAGGGGCACUGGGACGAGGAGCCUGGGGACGAGGGGGAUGGGAGCAAGGCGAGUGCGGAUCUUUUACGUCUUCACAGGUGGCCUUAACGCCUGCCAUUCUCCACAGAGGGUAGAGUUGCAGGAGCUUCCACUUUGAUUUUCCCACUACAAGACUCACUCUGUUGAUCAAGGAACCAGUUGAGGUUUUGCCCAGUUGCCAGCUUCAAAUACAUACUUCAUCGCCUGCUUGGUGAAAAUGGAGCUGGGCCCUAAAUUGUUUCUCCUUUAAAGCAGAUGCUCCACUGGUCAGCAUCCAGCCUCAGCCUGCCCCAGAGAGGUGUUUCCUGCUUGCCAGUCCUGGCCAGGCUCCCUACCUGCCACCUUCAACCCCUCUACACCUGCAGGAGUGAUUGCCCAUUGACUGUGGACCAGCUCUGGCUACGGGAAAACCAGAGAACCUCUCCAUCAUCCAUACUGCACCAAACAGCAUCUCUGCAACCACACCUUUUCCAAGAUUUGAGCCCCAGCCUUGGGGAGGAGGCCAUCUUUCACAUUUUCUCCUUCCUUGGGAACUCUCUGUCAGCCCAGAGUAUUCUUUUGCAUUAUCUUUAGCCCUGUACAGAUAAUUCCAUUAUAGUAAAUAAUCCUUUAUAUUAAACGUUCCUUGCCCAAAUGACUGUGCAG
Molecule: long non-coding RNA, 929 nt
Filed under: Homo sapiens (human)
Lineage: Eukaryota; Metazoa; Chordata; Mammalia; Primates; Hominidae
Description: HSALNT0145413
Source: RNAcentral